This 1474-nucleotide ribosomal RNA is filed under the name Stainforthia fusiformis. RNAcentral's name for it is "SSU rRNA". It matches the Rfam family "Eukaryotic small subunit ribosomal RNA", at positions 574 to 1441 of the family's 1831-position model. Lineage: Eukaryota; Foraminifera; Rotaliida; Stainforthiidae. The record is from RNAcentral.
CUGCGGUAAUUCCAGCUCCACUGGCCUAUACAAUCAUUGUUGCGGUUAAGAGGCUCGUAGUUGGAUUGAACUGCAAUCUUAUUCUUGAAUGAAUAUAUUGCGCUAUAGUUUUUAUCGCACACACACACAUACUCUGUGUCGUGUGCUGCGUUCGACGCUGUUAACUUCUCAGGUUUUCACGACGGCACCGUGCAUAUAUAUUCUCACACACACACGGCGAUAUAUGCUCGGGACACGUAAUACUAUACCACUCACAAUUUAUUCUCCUUUUCAACACUGUGAACAAAUCAGAGUGUAUCAAACAUGUCGUUUUUGAAUGUGCAUUGAAUGUCUUAUCAUGGGAUGUUGCACUUUCACCAUUAGGAAAAAAUUGCAUUGCGCUAUUUUUCUCUACACACACACACUUAACGUACAUGUCUACUGUACGCACAGCCAUCUGUGAUAAAGCUGUUUUUUUUCUAACGGUUAAAAAUGUCGAUGGGGAUAGUUGGAGUCAACAGUACUGCUGGGCGAGAGGUGAAAUUCAUUGACCCUAGCAAGACUACCAAAAGCGAAAGCAGUUGGCUAGGCUAUACUCUUUGUGAUUAUAUGCCAUACCCACACAAUUUACACUGUGUAGCUCACACACACACACACUCGGCGGCACGUGUAAUUUCUACGUAUCGGCACUAUAUACACUUUACAAUGAAGAACGAAGGUUGGGGGAUCAAAGAGGAUCAGAUACCCUCGUCGUCCCAUUAAUUACAUCAAACGAUGGGCUCUCAAUGCAUUUUUCAUUAAAUUGCAAAUUUCCUCAGCUACAAAAUGACUUGGCUGAGCUCGUAUUUUUAAUACGCUCGCCUAAUUUUUUCGUAUGGUCUCGAUGGACGUUUCAUUUAAAAUUUUUUGCGUGUAAGCAUUGUUAUUCUUUGAAACAUAAGAAUGCAUUGCGUGCACUUGAUUUUCGGAGCUUUGCGCUCAAUUCUGGUGAGAUGUAAGCACUAUGUCAUACUGCCCGCAGCGUAUAUCUUCGGGUAUUUCGUCUGUCGUGUGCAGUUGACAAUUUUGGUGUGAAGCACGCUUUAGGCACGCGCUUACUGCAGAAAUGUCUGAGACAUUCCCUUCCGGGGGAAGUAUGUACGCAAGUAUGAAACUUGAAGGAAUUGACGGAAGGGCACCACAAGAACGCGUGGAGCAUGUGGCUUAAUUUGACUCAACGCGGGAAAUCUUACCGGGUCCGGACACACUGAGGAUUGACAGGCAAUAUUAAUUUCGCUCCGGCGAUUUUAUGUUAAAUAUGCUAGUCCUUUCAUGAUUAUGUGAUAGGUGGUGCAUGGCCGUUCUUAGUUCGUGGAGUGAUCUGUCUGCUUAAUUGCGUUUCACUAAGGGCCUAUAAUUUAACGUGUGUUGCGGCACUUUGACCCCUCUUCGCGGAGCGUGCGUCUUGGCUUGUUUAGCUCACACAAUUAGGUCCUGAAAGCAACGAACGUGACCG